RNAcentral lists this unclassified non-coding RNA (404 nucleotides) under soil metagenome. RNAcentral's name for it is "partial contains 5.8S ribosomal RNA, internal transcribed spacer 2, and large subunit ribosomal RNA". The stretch from base 1 to 122 matches the Rfam family "5.8S ribosomal RNA", at positions 35 to 154 of the family's 154-position model. The record is from RNAcentral.
GAUGAAGAACGUAGUAAAAUGCGAUACUUGGUGUGAAUUGCAGAAUCCCGUGAACCAUCGAGUUUUUGAACGCAAGUUGUGCCCGAAGCCUUUUGGCCGAGGGCACGUCUGCCUGGGCGUCACGCAUCGCGUCGCCCCCCACAAUUCUCCGUAAAGGGAACGUGUGUUUUGGGGGCGGAUAUUGGUCUCCCGUGCUCAUGGCGUGGUUGGCCGAAAUAGGAGUCCUUUCGAUGGACGCACGAACUAGUGGUGGUCGUAAAAACCCUCGUCUUUUGUUUCGUGCUGUUGCUCGCAAGGUAAACUCUUUAAAAACCCCAAUGUGUCGUCUCUUGACGACGCUUCGACCGCGACCCCAGGUCAGGCGGGACUACCCGCUGAGUUUAAGCAUAUCAAUAAGCGGAGGA